AUUGAACGCUGGCGGAAUGCUUUACACAUGCAAGUCGAACGGCAGCACGGACUUCGGUCUGGUGGCGAGUGGAGAACGGGUGAGUAAUGUAUCGGAACGUGCCCAGUCGUGGGGGAUAACGUAGUGAAAAUUACGCUAAUACCGCAUACGAUCUAUGGAUGAAAGCGGGGGAUCGCAAGACCUCGCGCGAUUGGAGCGGCCGAUAUCAGAUUAGGUAGUUGGUGGGGUAAAGGCCCACCAAGCCAACGAUCUGUAGCUGGUCUGAGAGGACGACCAGCCACACUGGAACUGAGACACGGUCCAGACUCCUACGGGAGGCAGCAGUGGGGAAUUUUGGACAAUGGGCGAAAGCCUGAUCCAGCCAUUCCGCGUGCAGGAUGAAGGCCCUCGGGUUGUAAACUGCUUUUGUACAGAACGAAAAGGUUUCUACUAAUACUAGGAGCUCACGACGGUACUGUAAGAAUAAGCACCGGCUAACUACGUGCCAGCCGCCGCAGUAA
This 500-nucleotide ribosomal RNA is filed under the name uncultured bacterium. RNAcentral's name for it is "partial 16S ribosomal RNA". It matches the Rfam family "Bacterial small subunit ribosomal RNA", at positions 30 to 523 of the family's 1533-position model. The record is from RNAcentral.